Oncorhynchus keta (chum salmon) is the source of this 1056-nucleotide long non-coding RNA. RefSeq lists it as uncharacterized. The record is from RefSeq and is a predicted model, not a curated record. The transcript is spliced from 3 exons. Lineage: Eukaryota; Metazoa; Chordata; Actinopteri; Salmoniformes; Salmonidae.
GGGUCAUGCUCAGGUUAAACAACAGAAUAGGCUAAUAAGUCCUUAGUUUUAGGUCAUGCUCGGGUUAAACAACAGAAUAGGCUAAUACGUCCUUAGUUUUGAGUCAUGCUCAGGUUAAACAACAGAAUAGGCUAAUACGUCCUUAGUUUUGAGUCAUGCUCAGGUUAAACAACAGAAUAGGCUAAUACGUCAAUAGUUUUGAGUCAUGCUCAGGUUAAACAACAGAAUAGGCUAAUACGUCAAUAGUUUUGAGUCAUGCUCAGGUUAAACAACAGAAUAGGCUAAUACGUCCUUAGUUUUGGGUCAUGCUCAGGUUAAACAACAGAAUAGGCUAAUACGUCCUUAGUUUUGGGUCAUGCUCAGGUUAAACAACAGAAUAGGCUAAUAAGUCCUUAGUUUUGGGUCAUGCUCAGGUUAAACAACAGAGUAGGCUAAUAAGUCCUUAGUUUUGGGUCAUGCUCGCGUUAAACAACAGAAUAGGCUAAUACGUCCUUAGUUUUGGGUCAUGCUCAGGUUAAACAACAGAGUAGGCUAAUAAGUCCUUAGUUUUGGGGUCAUGCUCAGGUUAAACAACAGAAUAGGCUAAUAAGUCCUUAGUUUUGGGUCAUGCUCAGGUUAAACAACAGAGUAGGCUAAUAAGUCCUUAGUUUUGGGGUCAUGCUCAGGUUAAACAACAGAGUAGGCUAAUAAGUCCUUAGUUUUGGGGUCAUGCUCAGGUUAAACAACAGAAUAGGCUAAUAAGUCCUUAGUUUUGGGUCAUGCUCAGGUUAAACAACAGAGUAGGCUAAUAAGUCCUUAGUUUUGGGGUCAUGCUCAGGUUAAACAACAGAAUAGGCUAAUAAGUCCUUAGUUUUGGGUCAUGCUCAGGUUAAACAACAGAGUAGGCUAAUAAGUCCUUAGUUUUGGGGUCAUGCUCAGGUUAAACAAUUUGGCUUAUCUAUAUUGCUAUAUCCUAUUCUUGAAGAUCAAGAAAAUUACAUGAAUUGGCAUGACCGGAAAUCUGACCGACUUUUGGUUUUAAUGUAAAGAUACAACCUAAUCGUAUGAUUAUCUGUA